Molecule: ribosomal RNA, 427 nt
Filed under: uncultured Acidobacterium sp.
Lineage: Bacteria; Pseudomonadati; Acidobacteriota; Terriglobia; Terriglobales; Acidobacteriaceae
Description: bacterial SSU rRNA
Rfam family: Bacterial small subunit ribosomal RNA
Source: RNAcentral
AACGCGAAGAACCUUACCUGGGCUCGAACGGCUUAAGACCGGGGUGGAAACACCCUCUCCCCUUAAAAGGCUUGAGUCGAGGUGCUGCAUGGCUGUCGUCAGCUCGUGUCGUGAGAUGUUGGGUUAAGUCCCGCAACGAGCGCAACCCUUGUCCUGUGUUGCCAUCAUUUAGUUGGGCACUCUCAGGAGACCGCCAGCGAUAAGCUGGAGGAAGGUGGGGAUGAUGUCAAGUCAUCAUGGCCUUUAUGUCCAGGGCUACACACGUGCUACAAUGGCCGGUACAAAGCGCUGCAAACUCGCAAGAGGGAGCUAAUCGCAAAAAACCGGUCUCAGUUCGGAUCGCAGGCUGCAACUCGCCUGCGUGAAGCUGGAAUCGCUAGUAAUGCCGUAUCAGAACGAUGGCGUGAAUACGUUCCCGGGCCUUGUA